Molecule: ribosomal RNA, 254 nt
Filed under: uncultured bacterium
Lineage: Bacteria
Description: partial 16S ribosomal RNA
Rfam family: Bacterial small subunit ribosomal RNA
Source: RNAcentral
UACGUAGGGUGCGAGCGUUGUCCGGAAUUAUUGGGCGUAAAGAGCUCGUAGGCGGUGUGGCACGUCGGCCGUGAAAACCUGCAGCUUAACUGUGGGCGUGCGGUCGAUACGGGCAUCACUGGAGUUCGGCAGGGGAGACUGGAAUCCCUGGUGUAGCGGUGAAAUGCGCAGAUAUCAGGAGGAACACCGGUGGCGAAGGCGGGUCUCUGGGCCGAUACUGACGCUGAGGAGCGAAAGCGUGGGGAGCAAACAGG